RNAcentral lists this ribosomal RNA (492 nucleotides) under uncultured bacterium. RNAcentral describes it as "partial 16S ribosomal RNA". It matches the Rfam family "Bacterial small subunit ribosomal RNA", at positions 29 to 507 of the family's 1533-position model. The record is from RNAcentral.
AGUGAACGCUGGCGGUAGGCCUAACACAUGCAAGUCGAACGGCAACACAGUAAUAGCUUGCUCUGACGGGGGGCGGGUGGCGGACGGGUGAGGAAUACAUCGUAAUCUACUUUUUCGUAUGAGUUAAGGUAGGUAAACUUACUCUAGUACCGCAGACGACCUACGGUUGAAAGCAGGGGAUCGUCGGACCUUGCGCGAUUGAAUGAGCUGAUGUCGUAUUAGCUAGUGGGCGGGGUAAAGGCCCACCAAGGCGACGAUCCGUAGCUGGUCUGAGAGACUGAUCACCCACACUGGAACUGGAACACGGUCCAUACUCCUGCGGGAGGCAGCAGUGGGGAAUAUUGGACAAUGGUCGCAAGCAUGAUCCAGUGAUCGCGCGUGGGUGACGAAGGCCUUCGGGUUGUAAAGCCGUUUUGUUGGGAAAGAACAGCAUCAGGCUAAUACCCCGCUGUUCUGACGGUAACCAAAGAAUAAGCACCGGCUAACUUCGUG